Molecule: long non-coding RNA, 531 nt
Organism: Oncorhynchus tshawytscha (Chinook salmon)
Lineage: Eukaryota; Metazoa; Chordata; Actinopteri; Salmoniformes; Salmonidae
Source: Ensembl
GAGAGAGGGAGGGAGGGAGAGAGACUUCACUGUUCAUUUUUUACCCUCUUUUAGUCCGCCUGUCAGUGGGAAGUCAGUCAGCCUAGAAGGGGCUAGGAAGCUACUCAAUUCACCUCAACUGCCUGAACAACAGAUAAGAGGUGUGUUUGUGUGUGUGUGUUUUUAAAGAGAAUAUUCUGGUCUCCUGAUCCCCUGCUGUCUGUCCUCAUUUCCUCUCACACACACACACACACACACACACCCCACAACCCAUCCCUGCAUUUACAGAGCCGAGUAUGAAGUGUAAAAUGGAAAGUAGGAGUGUGUGUGUCUCUGCGUGUGUGUGUUCCAAGGCUCUGAGAGUUCCAAGGCUCUGUGUGUUCCAAGGCUCUGUGUGUUCCAAGGCUCUGAGAGUUCCAAGGCUCUGAGAGUUCCAAGGCUCUGAGAGUUCCAAGGCUCUGAGAGUUCCAAGGCUCUGAGAGUUCCAAGGCUCUCAGAGUGUCUCUGCUGUACACAUAGUAAACUCAGACAGAGAGAGAGCCAGGCUUCAUG